AGCCAGGCAAGUAAACACCUUCUUUCUGAAAUAGGGUCCCCCUCCACAAGCCAGGGAGCAAGUGGGGUUUGGCCACAAUUGCGGUCACUUUUGCAACUGAAGAAGAAACAGUGUGCAAUUUGAAAAUUGGAUAUGGUCCGCAAACGAAAUCUGACAUACAAACAGCUAAAAAUGCGGGUUAUGUGCGAUACCCAGCCCCACAUCUGUACCCAAUUUGCACAAAGGAUUCUUGUCAUUUUCUGGGGCUGAAACAAAACCCUGGUUCAGCAAGCCCCACAACUUUGGAGGGCUGAAAUUUGAAGCAAAGUCUUUCAGACUGGUUUUGCCUCCGACAGAAACAUUUCUUGCCGUAAUUCCAGAGUUCCUAUCUUCCAAAUGCUAUGCUUCCAAAUGUUCUCAGCCCCAGCCACACAUGGUUGAAAAUGAGCCUGAGGCAACGUCAAGAAGACGCUGCAACAUUUCUUUAAGAAACUCUGAAGCUACCCAACUGGGAGGGAAGAGAAAGGAAGUGUUCAGGGUGUUUAUAGAGAAAAGGUGCCAGAUCCUGCUACCAGUUUCCUGUUUCUAUAAAAAUUGUGGGAACUCAGAUUGCUCAGCCCUCGGUUAACUUGGCUUAAAACUAGCCAAUGGACUGAAAA
Long non-coding RNA from Pezoporus flaviventris, 638 nucleotides. RefSeq lists it as uncharacterized. NCBI's taxonomy places the organism in Eukaryota, Metazoa, Chordata, Aves, Psittaciformes, Psittacidae. The transcript is spliced from 3 exons. The record is from RefSeq and is a predicted model, not a curated record.